RNAcentral lists this ribosomal RNA (274 nucleotides) under uncultured bacterium. RNAcentral's name for it is "partial 16S ribosomal RNA". It matches the Rfam family "Bacterial small subunit ribosomal RNA", at positions 523 to 796 of the family's 1533-position model. The record is from RNAcentral.
AGACGUAUGGGGCGAGCGUUGCUCGGAAUCACUGGGCGUAAAGAGUGCGUAGGCGGCCCUGCAAGUCAGGUGUGAAAGCCUGCGGCUUAACCGCAGAAUUGCAUCUGAAACUGCAGGGCUUGAGUCCGGGAGAGGAAAGGGGAAUUCCCGGUGUAAGGGUGAAAUCUGUAGAUAUCGGGAGGAACACCGAUGGCGAAGGCACCUUUCUAUCCCGGAACUGACGCUGAGGCACGAAAGCGUGGGGAGCAAACCGGAUUAGAUACCCUAGUAGUCC